GACGAACGCUGGCGGCGUGCUUAACACAUGCAAGUCGAACGGAAAGGCCCUGCUUUUGUGGGGUGCUCGAGUGGCGAACGGGUGAGUAACACGUGAGUAGCCUGCCCUUGACUUUGGGAUAACUUCAGGAAACUGGGGCUAAUACCGGAUAGGAGCUCCUGCUGCAUGGUGGGGGUUGGAAAGUUUCGGCGGUUGGGGAUGGACUCGCGGCUUAUCAGCUUGUUGGUGGGGUAGUGGCUUACCAAGGCUUUGACGGGUAGCCGGCCUGAGAGGGUGACCGGCCACAUUGGGACUGAGAUACGGCCCAGACUCCUACGGGAGGCAGCAGUGGGGAAUAUUGCACAAUGGGCGGAAGCCUGAUGCAGCAACGCCGCGUGCGGGAUGACGGCCUUCGGGUUGUAAACCGCUUUCGCCUGUGACGAAGCGUGAGUGACGGUAAUGGAUAAAGAAGCACCGGCUAACUACGUG
RNAcentral lists this ribosomal RNA (468 nucleotides) under uncultured bacterium. RNAcentral's name for it is "partial 16S ribosomal RNA". It matches the Rfam family "Bacterial small subunit ribosomal RNA", at positions 28 to 507 of the family's 1533-position model. The record is from RNAcentral.